This 497-nucleotide ribosomal RNA is filed under the name uncultured bacterium. RNAcentral describes it as "partial 16S ribosomal RNA". It matches the Rfam family "Bacterial small subunit ribosomal RNA", at positions 28 to 507 of the family's 1533-position model. The record is from RNAcentral.
GAUGAACGCUGGCGGCGUGCCUAAUACAUGCAAGUCGAGCGAACAGACGAGGAGCUUGCUCCUCUGACGUUAGCGGCGGACGGGUGAGGAACACGUGGAUAACCUACCUAUAAGACUGGGAUAACUUCGGGAAACCGGAGCUAAUACCGGAUAAUAUAUUGAACCGCAUGGUUGAAUAGUGAAAGACGGUUUUGCUGGCACUUCUGGAUGGCUCCGCGCCGCAUUAGCUAGUUGGUAAGGUAACGGCUUACCAAGGCAACGAUGCGUAGCCGACCUGAGAGGGUGAUCGGCCACACUGGAACUGAGACACGCUCCAGACUCCUACGGGAGGCAGCAGUAGGGAAUCUUCCGCAGAGGUCGAAAGCCUGACGGAGCAACGCCGCGUGAGUGAUGAAGGUCUUCGGAUCGUAAAAAUCUGUUACUAGGGAAGAACAAAUGUGUAAGUAACUAUGCACUUCUUGACGGUACCUAAUCAGAAAGCCCCGGCUAACUACGUG